Oncorhynchus tshawytscha (Chinook salmon) is the source of this 1648-nucleotide long non-coding RNA. The record is from Ensembl. NCBI's taxonomy places the organism in Eukaryota, Metazoa, Chordata, Actinopteri, Salmoniformes, Salmonidae.
GGAGACAAUCAAAGACUAGUGUGGUGGAGACAAUCAAAGACUAGUGUGGUGGAGACAAUCAAAGACUAGUGUGGUGGAGACAAUCAAAGACUAGUGUGGUGGAGACAAUCAAAGAAAGGAAUGGGGGGGGGAUUCUAUCUCGAUUUGUUUUGAUGAAUGGAAUAAAUUGUAGUUAUUUAUCCAAAGCACUUUUGAUAUAGUGAUUCAAAUAUUUUCUAGUCACAUUUCUGUUUGUGUUGUGUGUUUAUGCCUGAAUUUUCUGGACGUUUAUACACGUGUAAAUAUACACUGUAGAAAAUACACAGAACACAGAAUUGGGUGAUACAGGAUGAGAGAGAGAAAUAGAAAGAGAAAGAGUGAGAGAGAGAGAGAGAGAAGGAGAGAGAGAAGGAGAGAGAGAGAGAGAGAGGAGAGAGAGAAGGAGAGAGAGAGAGAGGAGAGGAGAGAGAGAGAGAGAAGGAGAGAGAGAGAGAGAGAAGGAGAGAGAGGAGAGGAGAGAGAGAGAGAGAAGGAGAGAGAGAGAGAGAGAGAAGGAGAGAGAGAAGGAGAGAGAGAGAAAGGAGAGGAGAGAGAGAGAGAAAUUUUGCUGUUAAUAUUUGACCUCAAUAAAUUAUUUUCUGUCAAGGUCGGUUUACCCAAAGAGGUCUGUGACGUGCUCUUUUCAGUCAGGAUUUGUAAAUCAAUUGAAGGAUCAUUUGAAUUACGUUCCAGGCUGAGUAUGUGUGUAUGUGUGUGACGUGUCUAUGUGGGGGAGUGUAUGUGUGUGACGUGUCUAUGUGAGGGAGUGUAUGUGUGUGCCGUGUCUAUGUGAGGGAGUGUAUGUGUGUGCCGUGUCUAUUUGAGGGAGUGUAUGUGUGUAUGUGUGUGACGUGUCUAUGUGAGAGAGUGUAUGUGUGUAUGUGUGUGAGACGUGUCUAUGUGAGGGAGUGUAUGUGUGUGUGUGUGUGACGUGUCUAUGUGAGAGAGUGUAUGUGUGUGACGUGUCUAUUUGAGGGAGUGUAUGUGUGUAUGUGUGUGAGACGUGUCUAUGUGAGGGAGUGUAUGUGUGUGUGUGUGUGAGACGUGUCUAUGUGAGAGAGUGUAUGUGUGUAUGUGUGUGACGUGUCUAUGUGAGAGAGUGUAUGUGUGUAUGUGUGAGACGUGUCUAUGUGAGGGAGUGUAUGUGUGUGUGACGUGUCUAUGUGUGUGUGUGUGUGUGACACGUGUCUAUGUGAGGGAGUGUGUGACGUGUCUAUGUGUGUGUGUGUGUGUGUGACGUGUCUGUGUGCAGCUCCAGUUGAAGCGAGAAAGAACGUUGUUUCAUGGUUGUAAAAUGUUGUAAAGUCUGUAUCCAUCACAAUCCACUUAGUUACUAUCACAGAGAAAGAUACCGUAUCACAUGUGUCCUACUUCACACAUGAACAAGUGUGUGAAUGACUGUGUGAAUUAAUUUAAUCUUUAUUUAACCAGGCAAGUCAGUUAAGAACUAAUUCUUAUUUUCAAUGACGGUCUAGGAACAGUGGGUUAACUGGUCUAGGAACAGUGGGUUAACUGGUCUAGGAACAGUGGGUUAACUGGUCUAGGAACAGUGGGUUAACUGGUCUAGGAACAGUGGGUUAACUGGUCUAGGAACAGUGGGUUAACUGGUCUAGGAACAGUGGGUUAACUG